AAUUAAGAAGAGUGACACACAUUGUUCAAUUAUAUAUUAGUAAAAAAAUAAAAAAUAAUAAAUUGAAAUUUAAUAGUAGAAAAUUAAUUUGAACAAAUACAUCUAUGCAAUUUAAGUUCUGAAAAAAUAAAAAAUAUUUUAUAAAAUAAUUUGAAGACAAUUUAAAAUAAAAAAUUAUAAAUAAAAAACACUUAAAAAAAUUAAAUCAAUCAAUCAAUCAAUCUU
This 225-nucleotide long non-coding RNA is filed under the name Salvia miltiorrhiza (redroot sage). RNAcentral describes it as "long non-coding RNA (SMIL_LNC011752)". The record is from RNAcentral. Lineage: Eukaryota; Viridiplantae; Streptophyta; Magnoliopsida; Lamiales; Lamiaceae.